AAUUGGAGGGCAAGUCUGGUGCCGGCAGCCGCGGUAAUUCCAGCUCCAAUAGCGUAUAUUAAAGUUGUUGUGGUUAAAAAGCUCGUAGUUGAACCUUGGGCCUGGCUGGCCGGUCCGCCUCACCGCGUGUACUGGUCCGGCCGGGCCUUUCCCUCUGUGGAACCCCAUGCCCUUCACUGGGCGUGGCGGGGAAACAGGACUUUUACUGUGAAAAAAUUAGAGUGCUCCAGGCAGGCCUAUGCUCGAAUACAUUAGCAUGGAAUAAUAGAAUAGGACGUGUGGUUCUAUUUUGUUGGUUUCUAGGACCGCCGUAAUGAUUAAUAGGGACAGUCGGGGGCAUCAGUAUUCAAUUGUCAGAGGUGAAAUUCUUGGAUUUAUUGAAGACUAACUACUGCGAAAGCAUUUGCCAAGGAUGUUUUCAUUAAUCAGGAACGAAAGUUAGGGGAUCGAAGACGAUCAGAUACCGUCGUAGUCUUAACCAUAAACUAUGCCGACUAGGGAUCGGACGGUGUUAUUUUUUGACCCGUUCGGCACCUUACGGGAAACCAAAGUGU
RNAcentral lists this ribosomal RNA (554 nucleotides) under uncultured Ascomycota. RNAcentral describes it as "SSU rRNA". It matches the Rfam family "Eukaryotic small subunit ribosomal RNA", at positions 546 to 1106 of the family's 1831-position model. The record is from RNAcentral. Lineage: Eukaryota; Fungi; Ascomycota.